Small nucleolar RNA from Euleptes europaea (tarantolino), 134 nucleotides. RefSeq annotates it as small nucleolar RNA SNORA55. The transcript has a single exon. The record is from RefSeq and is a predicted model, not a curated record. Lineage: Eukaryota; Metazoa; Chordata; Lepidosauria; Squamata; Sphaerodactylidae.
GCAUCUGAAUCUUUCCCACUCCUUGCUGCACAGUGCAGGCCUGGGGACAAAUGAUGCUAAAGCAAUACAGAGCAAAUCCAGGCAGGUCCGUCUUCUUUUGCAAAGAGACUUGUCUCUACAGCUCUGAAACAUUU